This 475-nucleotide long non-coding RNA is filed under the name Homo sapiens (human). Its description in RNAcentral is "non-protein coding lnc-FAM240B-7:1". The record is from RNAcentral. Lineage: Eukaryota; Metazoa; Chordata; Mammalia; Primates; Hominidae.
GACUAGUGACACAAUAGUCCUUUCCCAAAAGGAGCACCUGCCAGUCACUCAGAUUGUGAUGACAGACGCAGGCCGACCACAUUCCGAAGCAGCUUAUACACUGGGGCCACUGCUCUGCCGCGGAGAUCCAAGACUUCUGAAAGUAUGGAGAAGAGAAAGUGUGAUAUUUGAAAUAUUCCCUUCUCUUUUUGGGAGACUGAGAUGGGAGGAUGGCUUGAGCCUAGGAGUUCAACACAAGCCCGGACAAGAUGAGUCAUUCUGGAAUUCAGCUUCCUUCAACACUGAGACUUCAUACCUUCAUUUCCCUGCUUUCCACGGAGAACUCACUGCUGACGUGUGCUUCUUUUUUAAGACCACAGUUUCCUCCGGGGUGUUUAUGGAGAACCUGGGGAUCACAGAUUUCAUCAGGAUUGAGCUGCGUGGUAAGCUCGCCACUCUGGACAAGUCACAGGGUACCCAUUAUUUAGCAAUAAAA